This 539-nucleotide small RNA is filed under the name Arabidopsis thaliana (thale cress). Its description in RNAcentral is "ATSL022600". Lineage: Eukaryota; Viridiplantae; Streptophyta; Magnoliopsida; Brassicales; Brassicaceae. The record is from RNAcentral.
AUAUUAUAUAAGAAAUCUAUAAAAAAAAAUAUUAUUUAAAUUAUGAUUAUAAACAAGAGUAUAUCUGUCUUUUGUUAUUUUUGAAUGAACCAUCUCCAUCCAAAUGGUUCAAACAAAUUCAUCCAAAUGAAUUUCAUUAAUUUGCCUAAAUUUUGAAACUCAUUCAGAUGUAUCAUCCAGAUGAUUCAUCCAAAUGCUUGUUAAAUUGUCAUAAACAAACAUCAUUUUCCAUCUCCAUUUGGAUGGAUCAUUUGGAUGGAGAAACAAACAGGCCAUAGUCACCGGAGAUAUGAACACAAUUAAUAACACACAUCUCGUCAGUCAUAAGAUAACAAUUAACAAUAAACUGGCUUGUUCAACUCUUCUCUUACAUUAGGAUCCUUGACAUGAUAGGAUCCUUAAAACGGGCAAUACUCUCUACAUGUUGAGGUGCGAUGCGGACAUGACAUUCACCCUCGUCUACGAAUCCGGAACAGCGCCUAAAUUCUUCAUCGUCUCCAAUUCCUAAGAGCCUAACUCUUCUAAUGUUUGUUGUUUCA